Molecule: ribosomal RNA, 372 nt
Filed under: uncultured organism
Description: partial 16S ribosomal RNA
Rfam family: Bacterial small subunit ribosomal RNA
Source: RNAcentral
GUAGGUGGCAAGCGUUGUCCGGAAUUAUUGGGCGUAAAGCGCGCGCAGGCGGUUCUUUAAGUCUGAUGUGAAAGCCCACGGCUCGACCGUGGAGGGUCAUUGGAAACUGGAGAACUUGAGUACAGAAGAGGAAAGCGGAAUUCCACGUGUAGCGGUGAAAUGCGUAGAGAUGUGGAGGAACACCAGUGGCGAAGGCGGCUUUCUGGUCUGUAACUGACGCUGAGGCGCGAAAGCGUGGGGAGCAAACAGGAUUAGAUACCCUGGUAGUCCACGCCGUAAACGAUGAGUGCUAAGUGUUAGGGGGUUUCCGCCCCCCUUGGUGCUGCAGCUAACGCAUUAAGCACUCCGCCUGGGAGUACGGCCGCAGGGCUG